CAGUAGAACGCUGAAGAGAGGAGCUUGCUCUUCUUGGAUGAGUUGCGAACGGGUGAGUAACGCGUAGGUAACCUGCCUUGUAGCGGGGGAUAACUAUUGGAAACGAUAGCUAAUACCGCAUAACAAUGGAUGACACAUGUCAUUUAUUUGAAAGGGGCAAUUGCUCCACUACAAGAUGGACCUGCGUUGUAUUAGCUAGUAGGUGAGGUAAUGGCUCACCUAGGCGACGAUACAUAGCCGACCUGAGAGGGUGAUCGGCCACACUGGGACUGAGACACGGCCCAGACUCCUACGGGAGGCAGCAGUAGGGAAUCUUCGGCAAUGGGGGCAACCCUGACCGAGCAACGCCGCGUGAGUGAAGAAGGUUUUCGGAUCGUAAAGCUCUGUUGUAAGUCAAGAACGGGUGUGAGAGUGGAAAGUUCACACUGUGACGGUAGCUUACCAGAAAGGGACGGCUAACUACGUGCCAGCAGCCGCGGUAAUACGUAGGUCCCGAGCGUUGUCCGGAUUUAUUGGGCGUAAAGCGAGCGCAGGCGGUUUGAUAAGUCUGAAGUUAAAGGCUGUGGCUCAACCAUAGUUCGCUUUGGAAACUGUCAAACUUGAGUGCAGAAGGGGAGAGUGGAAUUCCAUGUGUAGCGGUGAAAUGCGUAGAUAUAUGGAGGAACACCGGUGGCGAAAGCGGCUCUCUGGUCUGUAACUGACGCUGAGGCUCGAAAGCGUGGGGAGCGAACAGGAUUAGAUACCCUGGUAGUCCACGCCGUAAACGAUGAGUGCUAGGUGUUGGAUCCUUUCCGGGAUUCAGUGCCGCAGCUAACGCAUUAAGCACUCCGCCUGGGGAGUACGACCGCAAGGUUGAAACUCAAAGGAAUUGACGGGGGCCCGCACAAGCGGUGGAGCAUGUGGUUUAAUUCGAAGCAACGCGAAGAACCUUACCAGGUCUUGACAUCCCGAUGCUAUUUCUAGAGAUAGAAAGUUACUUCGGUACAUCGGUGACAGGUGGUGCAUGGUUGUCGUCAGCUCGUGUCGUGAGAUGUUGGGUUAAGUCCCGCAACGAGCGCAACCCCUAUUGUUAGUUGCCAUCAUUCAGUUGGGCACUCUAGCGAGACUGCCGGUAAUAAACCGGAGGAAGGUGGGGAUGACGUCAAAUCAUCAUGCCCCUUAUGACCUGGGCUACACACGUGCUACAAUGGUUGGUACAACGAGUUGCGAGUCGGUGACGGCGAGCUAAUCUCUUAAAGCCAAUCUCAGUUCGGAUUGUAGGCUGCAACUCGCCUACAUGAAGUCGGAAUCGCUAGUAAUCGCGGAUCAGCACGCCGCGGUGAAUACGUUCCCGGGCCUUGUACACACCGCCCGUCACACCACGAGAGUUUGUAACACCCGAAGUCGGUGAGGUAACCUUUGGAGCCAG
This 1408-nucleotide ribosomal RNA is filed under the name Streptococcus thermophilus. RNAcentral describes it as "bacterial SSU rRNA". It matches the Rfam family "Bacterial small subunit ribosomal RNA". Lineage: Bacteria; Bacillati; Bacillota; Bacilli; Lactobacillales; Streptococcaceae. The record is from RNAcentral.